This 702-nucleotide ribosomal RNA is filed under the name uncultured Verrucomicrobiaceae bacterium. RNAcentral describes it as "bacterial SSU rRNA". It matches the Rfam family "Bacterial small subunit ribosomal RNA", at positions 95 to 798 of the family's 1533-position model. Lineage: Bacteria; Pseudomonadati; Verrucomicrobiota; Verrucomicrobiia; Verrucomicrobiales; Verrucomicrobiaceae. The record is from RNAcentral.
GUGGCGCACGGGUGAGUAACACGUGAAUGACAUGCCCUUCAGAGGGGGAUAGCCCAGGGAAACUUGGAUUAAUACCCCAUGGUCUCGCAAGAGUAAAGGUGGCGCAAGCUGCCGCUGAGGGAUUGGUUCGCGCCCUAUCAGCUAGUUGGUGAGGUAACGGCUCACCAAGGCGAUGACGGGUACUUGGUCUGAGAGGACGAUCAGGCACACUGGAACUGAGACACGGUCCAGACACCUACGGGUGGCAGCAGUCGAGAAUAAUUCACGAUGGGGGCAACCCUGAUGGUGCAACGCCGCGCGGAGGAUGAAGGUCUUCGGAUUGUAAACUCCUGUCAUCCGGGAGAAAGACCUGGCUGUGAAUAGCAGACAGGGUUGAUAGUACCGGAAGAGGAAGGGACGGCUAACUUCGUGCCAGCAGCCGCGGUAAUACGAAGGUCCCGAGCGUUGUUCGGAAUCACUGGGCGUAAAGGGAGCGUAGGCGGUUUGGUAAGUCAGAUGUGAAAUCCCGGGGCUCAACCCCGGAACUGCAUCCGAUACUGCCAGACUUGAGCAAUGGAGAGGUAGCUGGAAUUAUCGGUGUAGCAGUGAAAUGCGUAGAUAUCGAUAGGAACACUCGUGGCGAAAGCGAGCUACUGGACAUUUGCUGACGCUGAGGCUCGAAGGCUAGGGGAGCGAAAGGGAUUAGAUACCCCUGUAGUCCUA